This 423-nucleotide ribosomal RNA is filed under the name uncultured Chroococcales cyanobacterium. RNAcentral's name for it is "bacterial SSU rRNA". It matches the Rfam family "Bacterial small subunit ribosomal RNA", at positions 355 to 794 of the family's 1533-position model. Lineage: Bacteria; Bacillati; Cyanobacteriota; Cyanophyceae; Chroococcales. The record is from RNAcentral.
UGGGGAAUUUUCCGCAAUGGGCGAAAGCCUGACGGAGCAAUACCGCGUGAGGGAAGAAGGCUCUUGGGUUGUAAACCUCAAAACUUAGGGAAGAAAAAAAUGACGGUACCUAAUGUAAGCAUCGGCUAACUCCGUGCCAGCAGCCGCGGUAAUACGGAGGAUGCAAGCGUUAUCCGGAAUCAUUGGGCGUAAAGAGUCCGUAGGUGGCACUUCAAGUCUGCUUUCAAAGACCGAAGCUCAACUUCGGAAAGGGAGUGGAAACUGAAGAGCUAGAGUAUAGUAGGGGUAGAGGGAAUUCCUAGUGUAGCGGUGAAAUGCGUAGAGAUUAGGAAGAACACCAGUGGCGAAGGCGCUCUACUGGGCAUAUACUGACACUGAGGGACGAAAGCUAGGGGAGCGAAAGGGAUUAGAUACCCCUGUAGU